AGAAUCAACGCUGGCGGCGUGCCUAACACAUGCAAGUCGAACGAGAAAGUGGGAGCAAUCCCACGAGUAAAGUGGCGCACGGGUGAGUAACACGUGACUAACCUACCCUUGAGUGGGGGAUAACCUAGGGAAACCUGGGCUAAUACCGCAUAAUACCUACGGGUCAAAGGAGCAAUUCGCUUUAGGAGGGGGUCGCGGCAGAUUAGUUAGUUGGCGGGGUAAUGGCCCACCAAGACAGUGAUCUGUAUCCGGCCUGAGAGGGCGCACGGACACACUGGAACUGAAACACGGUCCAGACUCCUACGGGAGGCAGCAGUGGGGAAUUUUGCGCAAUGGGGGAAACCCUGACGCAGCAACGCCGCGUGGAGGAUGAAGCCCCUUGGGGUGUAAACUCCUUUCGACCAAGACGAUAAUGACGGUACUGGUGGAAGAAGCACCGGCUAACUCUGUGCCAGCAGCCGC
This 462-nucleotide ribosomal RNA is filed under the name uncultured bacterium. Its description in RNAcentral is "SSU rRNA". It matches the Rfam family "Bacterial small subunit ribosomal RNA", at positions 26 to 518 of the family's 1533-position model. The record is from RNAcentral.